Molecule: long non-coding RNA, 1887 nt
Organism: Myzus persicae (green peach aphid)
Lineage: Eukaryota; Metazoa; Arthropoda; Insecta; Hemiptera; Aphididae
Exons: 2
Source: RefSeq, a predicted model, not a curated record
UAUUUGUAUGUUUAUAUUAAUUAUUAAUAUAUUGUUUGUUAUACCAAUAGUUGGUACUUACCUAGAAUGAAUAAUGAUAAUGAUAAUAAUAUAAUCUCAAGUCCCCAACGUAUUAAUAAUAGAAUUUUUAAAUACAAUUAGUUAAGAUUAAGAUCACUCAUGCUCUGAAAUCCAGUGUUUCAAAAGAACAGUUUUAUGAACGUUAAUUUGUUAUUUUAAUGUCGUAAAAUAAAUACUAACUUUAAUAAUAUAAUUCAAUUAUAUGUUCAUUUCUUCAAAAUAUUAUCUUUUUUCAGUUUUAUAAUAAUUAACUUUCGCUCUGAAUUUGCUCAUAAGAAACAGCUAGUUACAUCGCCAAUCAUCAUUAACAUACUAGUUACAGUUUUUUUUUUAUAAAUUAUACUUUGGACCACAACAUGUAAACUAAUUUGAAUUAUUAGCAUUGCCUUAUAAUAAUAUAAUUAUGUUUAAAUUUUUCUUAAAAUGUUAAAUUUGCCUUUACACACUGGCUACUAAUAAUAUUAAGCGGAUGUCAGCUCACCAUUUGUUUUCUCUAUAUCUGACCCACGAGUAAAAUUGCAAAUUAUGUUUAGCAGAACUGGUAAUUUUGUAUUGUUACUUUUAAUAUUAAAGUAAAUUCACCUAUAAUCGAACUUUGAGUUAAGAGCAUUACCUGUCCAUUCUUUACGAUAUUUUUAUUUCUAUUGAAUUUAUAAGCUUUUUUAAAUUGUGACAUUUUACACGCUCUUAUAACAUACUUAAAAAUUAAAAUAUCAUAAAAUAUCCAAUGUUUGGCACAGGUAAUGUUGUUGAAUUAAAGUUUGACUAUAGGUGAAUUCGCUCUAAUACUUAAAGUACCUAAUAAUAUAACGUUCGUUAUGAUGUACUUAAAUUUGGUAUAUCUAACGCUUGGUUCAGAGAUAGAAAGAAAACAAAUCGUGAGAUGACAUCAUCUUAAUUUUUUAGUAGAUUUAGGCAAUUUUAACAUUUUAAGAAUAAUUUAAACAUUAUAUUAUAAACCAAUAAUUCAGAUUAUUUUACAGGUGGUACCACGUUAAUGCCAUUUCAUAUUGAUGGUUGGGUGUCUAAUUAUUGUGAAACUAUGCAAUAUUAUAGAAACUCAAAGACUUCAACUAUAGGGUGUUUACACAGAUUGGCUAUUUCACCGGUUCUUGAGUGCAAUUUUAGAGCUAUAGUAAACUAUUACAAAAUCAAAAAAGGAUAAUACUUUAGAAAAAAUAGACAUAUUAUUAUUAUAUUCAGAACAUCUACUGACAUCAUUUUAAUAAACGGGUGGAACGUUCUCUCGAACACAACGCAUUACACUAACGCAGGCAAUACAAUUAUGUCAAUAUGCAAAGACGAGUGCUUGAUGUACCAACGGAACAAAACGAACUGUCAUCGCACGAUAUGUCUGUUUAUUAAUUACCGCAAUGUGUGUGUGACACACGACGGACGUCGUGCGACCGAUCGCCCGCAAGACAUACCAACAAUAUAUACGUGCGACCGAUUGCCAAGGCAUAACACUGUGCGACGUGACAUUUGAACGCCGAAAUGUACGCGAUUAGAGGUAAUUGACGUCUCGGCAGUUAAUAAAUCACAUUUUAAUCCAACUCGCGGGGCGCCAGAUGAUCAGACAAGACCACAUAUAUACUAUAUGUAUAAUAUGCUACCGCUGUGGCCCCAGCGGCGGCGGCGGUGUGCAGGGGUCGGCCUUGGCCAGCAGGCCGAGACACUGUAAAUAAAACUUGCACACGGCGUAAACAUAAUUGUAACGAAAUUUUAUAGUGUCCAAAGACCAAAUUUUCGUCGUACGUAAUUAUAAACAGACUGACUUUCGGCUCCACAACAAAGCAUAUAUUAUAUGUGUCUCGAUUAAUUUCGCAU